This 497-nucleotide ribosomal RNA is filed under the name uncultured bacterium. RNAcentral describes it as "partial 16S ribosomal RNA". It matches the Rfam family "Bacterial small subunit ribosomal RNA", at positions 28 to 507 of the family's 1533-position model. The record is from RNAcentral.
GAUGAACGCUGGCGGCGUGCCUAAUACAUGCCAGUCGAGCGAACAGACGAGGAGCUUGCUCCUCUGACGUUAGCGGCGGACGGGUGAGUAACACGUGGAUAACCUACCUAUAAGACUGGGAUAACUUUGGGAAACCGGAGCUAAUACCGGAUAAUAUAUUGAACCGCAUGGUUCAAUAGUGAAAGACGGUUUUGCUGUCACUUAUAGAUGGAUCCGCGCCGCAUUAGCUAGUUGGUAAGGUAACGGCUUACCAAGGCGACGAGGCGUAGCCGACCUGAGAGGGUGAUCGGCCACACUGGAACUGAGACACGGUCCAGACUCCUACGGGAGGCAGCAGUAGGGAAUCUUCCGCAAUGGGCGAAAGCCUGACGGAGCAACGCCGCGUGAGUGAUGAAGGUCUUCGGAUCGUAAAACUCUGUUAUUAGGGAAGAACAAAUGUGUAAGUAACUAUGCACGUCUUGACGGUACCUAAUCAGAAAGCCACGGCUAACUACGUG